CGGAGUUAUAGAAACAGCUUUUUGCAAGACCCAGCGAGCACUCAUACUCAUCUCAGUUGAAGGGCUUCAAUGAGGAGACUCUCAGCUGAUUGAAAAUCCAGGAUUUUAACAAAGGAGAGGAGGAGGAACAGAAAGCUAGGAGGAGAAGAAGUAAUGAAUAGAAACCAAAGGUGCCAGCCAGAGGAAAUGAGAAACUGUCAUCAGGACACUACCAUGAGGA
This 220-nucleotide long non-coding RNA is filed under the name Homo sapiens (human). Its description in RNAcentral is "HSALNT0004922". Lineage: Eukaryota; Metazoa; Chordata; Mammalia; Primates; Hominidae. The record is from RNAcentral.